UACAGAGGGUGCAAGCGUUGUUCGGAAUUACUGGGCGUAAAGCGCAUGUAGGCGGCCUAUUAAGUCAGAUGUGAAAUCCCUCGGCUCAACCGGGGAACUGCAUCUGAUACUGGUAGGCUUGAGUGUCGGAGGGGAUGGUAGAAUUCCUGGUGUAGAGGUGAAAUUCGUAGAUAUCAGGAGGAAUACCUGUGGCGAAGGCGACCAUCUGGAAGACAACUGACGCUGAGAUGCGAAAGCGUGGGUAGCAAACAGG
RNAcentral lists this ribosomal RNA (253 nucleotides) under uncultured bacterium. Its description in RNAcentral is "partial 16S ribosomal RNA". It matches the Rfam family "Bacterial small subunit ribosomal RNA", at positions 524 to 776 of the family's 1533-position model. The record is from RNAcentral.